RNAcentral lists this ribosomal RNA (388 nucleotides) under uncultured organism. RNAcentral describes it as "bacterial SSU rRNA". It matches the Rfam family "Bacterial small subunit ribosomal RNA", at positions 46 to 433 of the family's 1533-position model. The record is from RNAcentral.
UCCUUUUACACCCCCCAAGUCGAACGGAUUAAAGAGCUUGCUCUUUAGUUAGUGGCGAACGGGUGAGUAAUAUAUCGGAACAUAUCCGGAAGUGGGGGAUAACGUAGCGAAAGUUACGCUAAUACCGCAUAUGCCCUGAGGGGGAAAGCAGGGGACCAGUAAUGGCCUUUCGUCGUCGGAGCGGCCGAUAUCGGAUUAGCUAGUUGGUGAGGUAAAGGCUCACCAAGGCGACCAUCCGUAGCAGGUCUGAGAGGAUGAUCUGCCACACUGGGAAUGAGACACGGCCCAGACUCCUACGGGAGGCAGCAGUGGGGAAUUUUGGACAAUGGGCGAAAGCCUGAUCCAGCCAUGCCGCGUGAGUGAAGAAGGCCUUCGGGUUGUAAAGCUC